RNAcentral lists this ribosomal RNA (762 nucleotides) under uncultured bacterium. Its description in RNAcentral is "bacterial SSU rRNA". It matches the Rfam family "Bacterial small subunit ribosomal RNA", at positions 20 to 777 of the family's 1533-position model. The record is from RNAcentral.
UGGCUCAGAUUGAACGCUGGCGGCAGGCCUAACACAUGCAAGUCGAGCGGAUGAGAAGAGCUUGCUCUUCGAUUCAGCGGCGGACGGGUGAGUAAUGCCUAGGAAUCUGCCUGGUAGUGGGGGACAACGUUUCGAAAGGAACGCUAAUACCGCAUACGUCCUACGGGAGAAAGCAGGGGACCUUCGGGCCUUGCGCUAUCAGAUGAGCCUAGGUCGGAUUAGCUAGUUGGUGAGGUAAUGGCUCACCAAGGCGACGAUCCGUAACUGGUCUGAGAGGAUGAUCAGUCACACUGGAACUGAGACACGGCCCAGACUCCUACGGGAGGCAGCAGUGGGGAAUAUUGGACAAUGGGCGAAAGCCUGAUCCAGCCAUGCCGCGUGUGUGAAGAAGGUCUUCGGAUUGUAAAGCACUUUAAGUUGGGAGGAAGGGCAGUAAGCGAAUACCUUGCUGUUUUGACGUUACCGACAGAAUAAGCACCGGCUAACUCUGUGCCAGCAGCCGCGGUAAUACAGAGGGUGCAAGCGUUAAUCGGAAUUACUGGGCGUAAAGCGCGCGUAGGUGGUUUGUUAAGUUGGAUGUGAAAGCCCCGGGCUCAACCUGGGAACUGCAUCCAAAACUGGCAAGCUAGAGUACAGUAGAGGGUGGUGGAAUUUCCUGUGUAGCGGUGAAAUGCGUAGAUAUAGGAAGGAACACCAGUGGCGAAGGCGACCACCUGGACUGAUACUGACACUGAGGUGCGAAAGCGUGGGGAGCAAACAGGA